UGCCAGCCGCCGCGGUAAUACGGAGGGGGUUAGCGUUGUUCGGAAUUACUGGGCGUAAAGCGCGCGUAGGCGGACUGGAAAGUAUGGGGUGAAAUCCCGGGGCUCAACCCCGGAACUGCCUCAUAAACUCCCAGUCUAGAGUUCGAGAGAGGUGAGUGGAACUCCGAGUGUAGAGGUGAAAUUCGUAGAUAUUCGGAAGAACACCAGUGGCGAAGGCGGCUCACUGGCUCGAUACUGACGCUGAGGCACGAAGGCGUGGGGAGCAAACAGGAUUAGAUA
RNAcentral lists this ribosomal RNA (279 nucleotides) under uncultured bacterium. RNAcentral's name for it is "partial 16S ribosomal RNA". It matches the Rfam family "Bacterial small subunit ribosomal RNA", at positions 506 to 784 of the family's 1533-position model. The record is from RNAcentral.